Molecule: ribosomal RNA, 536 nt
Filed under: uncultured bacterium
Lineage: Bacteria
Description: partial 16S ribosomal RNA
Rfam family: Bacterial small subunit ribosomal RNA
Source: RNAcentral
UGGGGAAUUUUGGACAAUGGGGGCAACCCUGAUCCAGCAAUGCCGCGUGUGUGAAGAAGGCCUUCGGGUUGUAAAGCACUUUUGUCCGGAAAGAAAACGCCGUGGUUAAUACCCGUGGCGGAUGACGGUACCGGAAGAAUAAGCACCGGCUAACUACGUGCCAGCAGCCGCGGUAAUACGUAGGGUGCAAGCGUUAAUCGGAAUUACUGGGCGUAAAGCGUGCGCAGGCGGUCCGCUAAGACAGAUGUGAAAUCCCCGGGCUUAACCUGGGAACUGCAUUUGUGACUGGCGGGCUAGAGUAUGGCAGAGGGGGGUAGAAUUCCACGUGUAGCAGUGAAAUGCGUAGAGAUGUGGAGGAAUACCGAUGGCGAAGGCAGCCCCCUGGGCCAAUACUGACGCUCAUGCACGAAAGCGUGGGGAGCAAACAGGAUUAGAUACCCUGGUAGUCCACGCCUAACGAUGUCACUAGUUGUGGGGAUUCAUUCCUUAGUAACGUAGCUACGCGUGAAGUUGACCGCCUGGGAGUACGGUCGCAA